CCGGUUCUCGUUAGAUCACCAAAGUCAAGCAUCAUUGGGCGCGGUCAGUACUUGGGUGGGUGACCACCUGGGAACACCGCGUGCC
This 85-nucleotide ribosomal RNA is filed under the name Caerostris darwini. Lineage: Eukaryota; Metazoa; Arthropoda; Arachnida; Araneae; Araneidae. The record is from RNAcentral.